UACAGGGGGUGCAAACGUUGUUCGGAAUUACUGGGCGUAAAGCGCGUGUAGGCUGCUCAGAAAGUCGGAUGUGAAAGCCCUGGGCUUAACCUAGGAAGUGCAUUCGAAACUUCUGAGCUUGAGUUCUGGAGAGGAAGGCGGAAUUCUCGGUGUAGAGGUGAAAUUCGUAGAUAUCGAGAGGAACACCGGUGGCGAAGGCGGCCUUCUGGACAGUGACUGACGCUGAGACGCGAAAGCGUGGGGAGCAAACAGG
Molecule: ribosomal RNA, 253 nt
Filed under: uncultured bacterium
Lineage: Bacteria
Description: partial 16S ribosomal RNA
Rfam family: Bacterial small subunit ribosomal RNA
Source: RNAcentral